RNAcentral lists this ribosomal RNA (468 nucleotides) under uncultured bacterium. RNAcentral's name for it is "partial 16S ribosomal RNA". It matches the Rfam family "Bacterial small subunit ribosomal RNA", at positions 28 to 507 of the family's 1533-position model. The record is from RNAcentral.
GACGAACGCUGGCGGCGUGCUUAACACAUGCAAGUCGAACGGAAAGGCCCUGCUUUUGUGGGGUGCUCGAGUGGCGAACGGGUGAGUAACACGUGAGUAACCUGCCCUUGACUUUGGGAUAACUUCAGGAAACUGGGGCUAAUACCGGAUAGGAGCUCCUGCUGCAUGGUGGGGGUUGGAAAGUUUCGGCGGUUGGGGAUGGACUCGCGGCUUAUCAGCUUGUUGGUGGGGUAGUGGCUUACCAAGGCUUUGACGGGUAGCCGGCCUGAGAGGGUGACCGGCCACAUUGGGACUGAGAGACGGACCAGACUCCUACGGGAGGCAGCAGUGGAGAAUAUUGCACAAUGGGCGGAAGCCUGAUGCAGCAACGCCGCGUGCGGGAUGACGGCCUUCGGGUUGUAAACCGCUUUCGCCGGUGACGAAGCGUGAGUGACGGUAAUGGGUAAAGAAGCACCGGCUAACUACGUG